GGAACAUUGCAGGUCCCGGGACUGCAGUGCUACUCCUCCCUUCCCACACACACCAUGCUAGGUAGGGGAUGACACCUGGUGCAGAGGCAUACACAAAACACCAUCCUGAGCUGCAUUCUGGAGAUUAUUCCUGAGAGUCUAUCCAUGCUGAUGGAGAAAUGGGGCUAGGUGGGAAGGUUCAUUUAUUUGCUCCUGGUCUCUAUGCUCUCUGAUGGUAAACCAGGUUGUCACAUGUCUGAGCUGAAAACAAAGGGCAUAAAGGAAAGCAAGUUCCUUCUAGAAAGCAACUGAAAGCCAGGUGCUGCUGGCUGGUGCCUGUCAU
This is a long non-coding RNA of Perognathus longimembris pacificus (Pacific pocket mouse), 322 nucleotides long. RefSeq lists it as uncharacterized. The transcript has 3 exons. Lineage: Eukaryota; Metazoa; Chordata; Mammalia; Rodentia; Heteromyidae. The record is from RefSeq and is a predicted model, not a curated record.